AUUGAACGCUGGCGGCAUGCUUUACACAUGCAAGUCGAACGGCAGCGCGGGCUUCGGCCUGGCGGCGAGUGGCGAACGGGUGAGUAAUGCAUCGGAACGUGCCCAGUAGUGGGGGAAGGCCGGCCAAAAGCGGGAUAAAUACGCAAAACGGCCUGGGGGGGAAACGGGGGGCCGGAAAGCCCCCCCGCAUUGGGGCGGCCCGAUGUCGGAUUAGCUAGUUGGUGGGGUAAAGGCUUACCAAGGCGACGAUCCGUAGCUGGUCUGAGAGGACGACCAGCCACACUGGGACUGAGACACGGCCCAGACUCCUACGGGAGGCAGCAGUGGGGAAUUUUGGACAAUGGGGGCAACCCUGAUCCAGCCAUGCCGCGUGCGGGAAGAAGGCCUUCGGGUUGUAAACCGCUUUUGUUCGGGAAGAAAUCCUCUGGGCUAAUACCCCGGGGGGAUGACGGUACCGGAAGAAUAAGCACCGGCUAACUACGUG
RNAcentral lists this ribosomal RNA (484 nucleotides) under uncultured bacterium. RNAcentral describes it as "partial 16S ribosomal RNA". It matches the Rfam family "Bacterial small subunit ribosomal RNA", at positions 28 to 507 of the family's 1533-position model. The record is from RNAcentral.